Prosopis cineraria is the source of this 3070-nucleotide long non-coding RNA. RefSeq lists it as uncharacterized. The transcript has 3 exons. NCBI's taxonomy places the organism in Eukaryota, Viridiplantae, Streptophyta, Magnoliopsida, Fabales, Fabaceae. The record is from RefSeq and is a predicted model, not a curated record.
GCAAGCACCUUCCAACUGAUUCCUUUAUUAAGGCUGUAAGCUGUUCGGAUGCAAACAGCUGCUAGUGUGAGGAAGUAUUUUACCGCAUUAUAUCCUUGCAUUGAAUCUUUCUCUUCGAAGAGUCGCCUAAGGCACUGAUAGGAGAAAGAGGAAGAUCAUUUGGGGGCUAGGAAGCAAAAUUAACAACUGAUAAUUCUUUUUUUCUUUUUUUUGCGCAUAACUACUGAUAAUUCUGACGCAAGAAAAUUGGAUGUUUUCCUAUGUGUUUUUGUAUCUGUUCUGCUGUUCAGAUGCUUCUUUCUAAAAAGCGUCUUUGCUUCCUAGUAUGGAAGUCAAAUUCAUAUACAUAGCAGAACCAGGGAAUUCUACCUUAUUCUAUCUCUUUUAAGCGCCAUCUAGCAUCGUAUGAAGUGUCUGAGAGAGCGAGAGAGAGUUGGCACCUGAAGAAAACGACACAUGUACGGAAUCGCGGCAACAAUGAAGGAAAAUGUUUUGAAAAUGGCGUUUGAGUUGCAAGUGUUCCGUCUGUACUUGAAAUCUCCCCAAACGUAGUAGCAAAUGUAGAACUCUAAACUUCUGAAGGCUUGCACCUGGAUGCAUAAAAAGGAAUGAAAUGGGAUAUGUAAAGCGCUAGAGCAUUAUGAUAUCAUUUUUCUUUCUCACGAACCUGGCUUGUAAGUUGAUCUGCCAAGAAGAAAUCUGAGAACGUGACCUAGGGACCAUUGGAAGUAACACAGUUUAGAUUUCCGGAGAAAUAUAGAGUUAAAUUAGUGGGAAAUUUUUCUAAUUUUAUGUCUUCCCCCCAUAUUGUUUACCUUGUAGAGAGGAGCGCAAAUGCAGUGAAACAGGCAUGUAAGGAAGAAAAGCCGGCUUGGACGAUAAAAGAUGUUGAAUGGGCAUGAUAAAAUGGCAAAUACAAUCUGCAGAGGAAGGAACCAACUCAUAAUUUAAGUUUAGAAGCUAAAAGAAGAUCUAAUGAAUUCUAUGAAAGUGUAAUAGUCUUACAAGUAACAAGAUUAGAGGAACAAGUUCAGUGAAGACUUUGUAUGGUUUUGUCUUUGGAUCCAUCUCCAUGUCAAGGUUUGCAAGCACACUGGCUAGUGCCAUUAUUGCGAGGACAAAAGCCAGGAGCAGGACAUCAAAGUACUUCAACUCAGAGCCUUCCUUAAGACCGAAUAUGAAUGAGUGAUUCACUCUGUAGCGCCUCCAGAAGUAUAUAUUAGCAGCAUACAUAAGCAUGUGUAGAACUAUGAAUCCAAACAAACUGCAGAAAAUGUUUUUAACACGGUAAAGCACAGGCAUGAGUUUUUGUUCAUUAGAUGAAGCUUAGUUUUUGAAAGAAAAAUUCGGCACAAUAUAGUUGGAAUGAAUAGGUUACCUAUAAAGAGGAAACAUGGUUUCCAUGUAUUGGGUACUUCCCGGGUGAUUCAUAAUCUUGCGGGCAUCAAUGAUCAGACAAAGUGCUAUAACUAGGGCUGCUGUGCAUCCGGCAUAAAAACCUGAAAAUCCAAACAAGAGAAAAGUCGGGGAAUCAAAUCAAAGACCAAACAUCAUGUUGUUCUGAAAAUUUCUGAACUAUAGUAAAUCACAGCUCUUACCCACAGAAAAUGUUAUUCCAUGCCUUGCUCUUUUCGGUUUGGGUUGGAGAAGGUUCAAUCCAUUGUUACGAUUUGAGUUCGAGAAGUGCUUAAUGAAUGUUUUCUCCACCCUUUCUAUAAGCCUAGUGACCUGUGCAGGAACGUCGAGAAAUUGUAAGGAUCUUAGAAGUCUGCUGAUUCAUGUUGACAAUUUUUGGAAAAUAUUGAAGUUGUGCUUUAUGGCUUUCUUUCCUUAUAAAGCUCUCACCUCAUCAGAGCUGCCGAGAGUAAUUGAGGAUGCUCUUUAUAGUUGAACGAGGAGUUUCAAGAGUGCCAUUCAACUGAACAUGGUCAAGGACUUCCAAAGGAGCUGGUUUGGUACUCGUGAUAUUCUCUGACUCCUCUUUUUGAAACUUCUGGUUAUUUAAUUGAAUUGUGUCAUCCUUAUUCUCCCUGGAAUCAUCUGAUAGACCGUGAUGGCUGCUGUCCUCUUUGAUCGCCUCCAAGGCCGUGGAAAAUGUUCCUAUUUUUGAAGUUGAAGAAGAUUUAACCAGUGUCGAAGCUGACAAUGCUGCCGCUGCAGCAGCAACAUCUGAAGCAAGAUGAGUCAUCUCUGCAGAGCUAUUGAUCCAUUCGGUAGGUUUCUCAACUUUUAUCCGGAAAGCAAUCAAAGCUUCCAUUUGUUUGUUUAAAAUAGCAGCUUCCUUCAUCACUUCUUCCACUUUAGACCUAUAAAACUUGUCCACUUUGUUAAACUCAUCAUCGAGCCUCCUGAAAAAUACCAAUUCAUAUUCUCCACCUUCUUCUGCAACCAUCAGAAAAGUAGUUUGAUAGUUCUCAGAUCCAUCUCGGCGCACUGAGUUCACCAUAAUGGCUUGGUUCUCAACAUCCUGCUCAGAGGGACUGAUGGAAUGGUGGGGUUGUCUCUGAAUGAGCCCACUGAAACUCCUGUAUAGUGAUAGCUUUCGCUUUAGGCUUCUUGGAGGUUCGGGUGGCGUGUCUCUAUGCUUGGAGCGUUGGACAGUUUUCAAAAGGGCCUUCAAAUAAUUAUAAUCCAUGUAUGCUUCCUUCCAUUCCGGCACCAUCUGUGCUUCAAAUUCUUUCCCAAACUUCAUUCUUGGUCUUUUUAAGCAACACAAACUAUCUGAUAUGUGAUGUGAGCAGGAAGUAGGUUUAGAAUGGAAAGGAAAUAUUGGAUGAUCAAACUGAAAAUCCUUGUGCUUAAAGUUUCUGAAAGGAAUGUUGUUUAUACGUGUACUUUUUAGAUCACCAAGAUGAUUUUCUUCUCUCUUUUUUCAAAUUGUGAGUAUCAUCUUAUAAGAGUCUUUAGGUUGAACUUUUCCUAAACAACAGGGCUGCAUGACACAGAUUCAUCCUUUUGUUUUGUUUGGAUGAUUCCAUAAAAGAAAAAUUCCUCAUUUCAUGUAUAAGCUGGACUUGACAAACUGGUUUGAGUGAGAAAAAGUCUGCUGUGAGUACAGUUACUGAAUAUG